GGGGGUGUAGUUCAGUUGGUAGAAUGUUUGCCUAGCAUGCACAAAGCCCUGGGUUCUAUUGCCAGCACCCCCA
This is a non-coding RNA of Peromyscus californicus insignis, 73 nucleotides long. Lineage: Eukaryota; Metazoa; Chordata; Mammalia; Rodentia; Cricetidae. The record is from the annotation of a RefSeq genome assembly.